CCCAUGGACGAUGACAUUAGCUGCAGAAUAAGCACCGGCUAACUCUGUGCCAGCAGCCGCGGUAAUACAGAGGGUGCAAGCGUUAAUCGGAAUUACUGGGCGUAAAGGGAGCGUAGGUGGCUCUAUAAGUCAGAUGUGAAAUCCCCGGGCUUAACCUGGGAACUGCAUCUGAAACUGUAGAGCUAGAGUAUGUGAGAGGAAGGUAGAAUUCCAGGUGUAGCGGUGAAAUGCGUAGAGAUCUGGAGGAAUACCGAUGGCGAAGGCAGCCUUCUGGCAUAAUACUGACACUGAGGCUCGAAAGCGUGGGUAGCAAACAGGAUUAGAUACCCUGGUAGUCCACGCCGUAAACGAUGUCUACUAGUCGUUGGGUCCCUUGAGGACUUAGUGACGCAGCUAACGCAAUAAGUAGACCGCCUGGGGAGUACGGCCGCAAGGUUAAAACUCAAAUGAAUUGACGGGGGCCCGCACAAGCGGUGGAGCAUGUGGUUUAAUUCGAUGCAACGCGAAGAACCUUACCUGGUCUUGACAUAUCUAGAAUCCUGCAGAGAUGCGGGAGUGCCUUCGGGAAUUAGAAUACAGGUGCUGCAUGGCUGUCGUCAGCUCGUGUCGUGAGAUGUUGGGUUUAAGUCCCGCAACGAGCGCA
RNAcentral lists this ribosomal RNA (643 nucleotides) under Psychrobacter cibarius. Its description in RNAcentral is "bacterial SSU rRNA". It matches the Rfam family "Bacterial small subunit ribosomal RNA", at positions 459 to 1100 of the family's 1533-position model. Lineage: Bacteria; Pseudomonadati; Pseudomonadota; Gammaproteobacteria; Moraxellales; Moraxellaceae. The record is from RNAcentral.